UAGGGAAUCUUUGGCAAUGGGGGGAACCCUGACCGAGCAACGCCGCGUGAGUGAAGAAGGUUUUCGGAUCGUAAAGCCCUGUUGUUAAGGAAGAACGAGUGUGAGAAUGGAAAGUUCAUACUGUGACGGUACUUAACCAGAAAGGGACGGCUAACUACGUGCCAGCAGCCGCGGUAAUACGUAGGUCCCGAGCGUUGUCCGGAUUUAUUGGGCGUAAAGCGAGCGCAGGCGGUUAGAUAAGUCUGAAGUUAAAGGCAGUGGCUCAACCAUUGUAGGCUUUGGAAACUGUUUAGCUUGAGUGCAGAAGGGGAGAGUGGAAUUCCAUGUGUAGCGGUGAAGUGCGUAGAUAUAUGGAGAAACACCGGUGGCGAAAGCGGCUCUCUGGUCUGUAACUGACGCUGAGGCUCGAAAGCGUGGGGAGCGAACAGG
RNAcentral lists this ribosomal RNA (429 nucleotides) under Bacteroidota bacterium. Its description in RNAcentral is "Bacteroidetes bacterium partial 16S ribosomal RNA". It matches the Rfam family "Bacterial small subunit ribosomal RNA", at positions 355 to 776 of the family's 1533-position model. The record is from RNAcentral. Lineage: Bacteria; Pseudomonadati; Bacteroidota.